RNAcentral lists this ribosomal RNA (479 nucleotides) under Streptococcus sp. oral taxon C65. RNAcentral describes it as "bacterial SSU rRNA". It matches the Rfam family "Bacterial small subunit ribosomal RNA", at positions 28 to 490 of the family's 1533-position model. Lineage: Bacteria; Bacillati; Bacillota; Bacilli; Lactobacillales; Streptococcaceae. The record is from RNAcentral.
GACGAACGCUGGCGGCGUGCCUAAUACAUGCAAGUAGAACGCUGAAGAGAGGAGCUUGCUCUUCUUGGAUGAGUUGCGAACGGGUGAGUAACGCGUAGGUAACCUGCCUUGUAGCGGGGGAUAACUAUUGGAAACGAUAGCUAAUACCGCAUAACAAUGGAUGACACAUGUCAUUUAUUUGAAAGGGGCAAUUGCUCCACUACAAGAUGGACCUGCGUUGUAUUAGCUAGUAGGUGAGGUAACGGCUCACCUAGGCGACGAUACAUAGCCGACCUGAGAGGGUGAUCGGCCACACUGGGACUGAGACACGGCCCAGACUCCUACGGGAGGCAGCAGUAGGGAAUCUUCGGCAAUGGGGGCAACCCUGACCGAGCAACGCCGCGUGAGUGAAGAAGGUUUUCGGAUCGUAAAGCUCUGUUGUAAGUCAAGAACGAGUGUGAGAGUGGAAAGUUCACACUGUGACGGUAGCUACCAGAAAG